GACGAACGCUGGCGGCGUGCUUAACACAUGCAAGUCGAACGGAAAGGCCCUGCUUUUGUGGGGUGCUCGAGUGGCGAACGGGUGAGUAACACGUGAGUAACCUGCCCUUGACUUUGGGAUAACUUCAGGAAACUGGGGCUAAUACCGGAUAGGAGCUCCUGCUGCAUGGUGGGGGUUGGAAAGUUUCGGCGGUUGGGGAUGGACUCGCGGCUUAUCAGCUUGUUGCUGGGGUAGUGGCUUACCAAGGCUUUGACGGGUAGCCGGCCUGAGAGGGUGACCGGCCACAUUGGGACUGAGAUACGGCCCAGACUCCUACGGGAGGCAGCAGUGGGGAAUAUUGCACAAUGGGCGGAAGCCUGAUGCAGCAACGCCGCGUGCGGGAUGACGGCCUUCGGGUUGUAAACCGAUUUCGCCUGUGACGAAGCGUGAGUGACGGUAAUGGGUAAAGAAGCACCGGCUAACUACGUG
RNAcentral lists this ribosomal RNA (468 nucleotides) under uncultured bacterium. Its description in RNAcentral is "partial 16S ribosomal RNA". It matches the Rfam family "Bacterial small subunit ribosomal RNA", at positions 28 to 507 of the family's 1533-position model. The record is from RNAcentral.